AUGAUCAAUGAUUCAGACUUUGUUUUCUGGAGAGUGGAGCAGAAUUGCGAAAGCCCAAGUUUUGGAGUCUUGCUCUGUUAUUAAUCCUGACUCGAACACGUAGCAAGAGAAGUCACCCUUCUGUUCCUUCCCACAUUUAUGUAGUACCCGUGACAGCUAGUAUCUGCUGCUGUUAUCCCUCCCCAUCAGCGUAUGUGCAGAAGAGGAGUCCAUCUGUUGAGUUUUACCAUCCCGAGAGUUGCAUCCCCAGAGCAUCCUGAGGAAGGGGAGGACCUCAGUGGCGCAGAAAGCUCUCGGCCGCAGAGCCACCGCACGCCUCGAUGGGACGCUCGCCCUACCCGUGCCUUCAGAUAUGGGGCCUCCCCUUCGGUGGCUGCCUGCCUCCUACAAACUGUCUUUGUGCAGGGAAAGUGCUGGAAGGAAGAGCAUGGCUUUAGUAAAACCCUGGUAGUCCACGGCUACCAGACCUGCGGCUUUUCAGUAGCCAGCGGUCGGCAGGCGGUGUGGUAUCCCACUUGUGGCACGAUGCUUGUACUACGUUGCCCUUUUUACCUGUCCCUGCAGCGUAGAAAAGCUUCCUUACCUUUGGUUUUGCACCUCGUGUUAAUUUGCAAGUUUCUCCUUCGUCUCCUCUCAAUCUUACUGUCACCUGCAGCAAGCAAAAAGUCGGGGGGGAGUGGGAAAUUAAAAUCCAUAGUGAAUUUUCACUGAAUUACAGUUCCCAUGGGAAACUCGAGUUACCGUCGGAUGCCAAAGUGCUCUUGUCUGGGGCGUGGGUGUCUGCAGUGAGAGAACUUCCUAAACCUAUUUUUUUGCCCUAAGAUGUACUGUGUAUCCUAGGCUUGAAGGCAGUCCUUGAAAGCUAGCGGCUAAGUAAAUUAUCUUUUUUCUAGAGAGGCUCUAAAUCAAAUUAGAAAAUUACCCUCUGAUAGAUGACAAAGGCACUUGCCUGCCCAGGUCCCCUAGAACAGAGGUCAGUGUCGUAAUUGCUCGCUUACGGUACCAUAGUGUCUAAUGAUCUCAGACGGGAUUAAAUCAUAGGAGUAACGCUGCAAAAAAUAAUUAGAUAAGGCAUGCUUGGGUGACUUUGAAAUGUGCCUGAGUGGGGAAGUGAUGUGGUUAGCUUACCUGCAAGUGAUUAAGUUUCCGUGGAUGGUGUUAAGGAAGUUGCUCUCUCCCUAAAGUGGAAUAUUCUUCCUGGCGUUAAGUACGCUUUUUUUCACGUUGGUUGUGGCUCUGUAGCGGGAAUACAGCUUGCUUGCCUGGGACAUUCUGGGAA
Long non-coding RNA from Egretta garzetta (little egret), 1279 nucleotides. RefSeq lists it as uncharacterized. The transcript has 3 exons. NCBI's taxonomy places the organism in Eukaryota, Metazoa, Chordata, Aves, Pelecaniformes, Ardeidae. The record is from RefSeq and is a predicted model, not a curated record.